Molecule: unclassified non-coding RNA, 368 nt
Filed under: Hevea brasiliensis (rubber tree)
Lineage: Eukaryota; Viridiplantae; Streptophyta; Magnoliopsida; Malpighiales; Euphorbiaceae
Source: RNAcentral
CCUAUCAACCAUUGCAUCUGAUAAGAAAACUGAAAAAUCAACUGAUGUUGUUAAGCUGCAAUUAUCCUCCGUUGACAGAAGACUCCCUGUUAUUGUUUUGCAUUGGUCUGCAGACAGUUCACACAAUGAUUCCUGUGGUCGGCUCUUUGUCUAUGGUGGAGAUGCAAUUGGGUCUGAAGAAGCUCUAACGAUUUUGAGCAUUGAUUGGUCUUCUGGGAUUGAAACUUUUAAGUGCAAUGGGCGUAUAGAUCUUACUCUUAAUGGUUCUUUUGCCGAUAUGGGUUUAUUACUAAGUGAUGGUGUGAGCAAAACUGGAGGUGCUUUCAUAUUGACAAACCCAGGACAGCUGCACUUUUAUGAUGAUGCUU